This 865-nucleotide long non-coding RNA is filed under the name Bactrocera latifrons. RNAcentral describes it as "uncharacterized LOC108969070, transcript variant X2". Lineage: Eukaryota; Metazoa; Arthropoda; Insecta; Diptera; Tephritidae. The record is from RNAcentral.
CACAUGCACUGUAUUUUUAUGGGUUUAAAGAGCGCGUGAGAAACAUAAAAACAACAAAUUUAAAGUUUUGCUGAUGAUGUAGCGUAGAGUGUGGGUGUGUAAAGAAAAAUGAUGAGUGAAUGACAUUCUCAGUUUGUGCAUUGUUGUGGAAGUUAACAGGUGUUAUCAUUGAAAAGUGUGAGUAAAUUGAACAGAAAUGUGGGAGAGUGAGAAAUGUUCUGUGAAUUAUGGUUUUAAUAAUUAAUUUAAGGAAGUUUGCGUUACGCGUAAUAAAUUCGGAUAGUGUUUCAAAAAUAAUAAUAUGUGUAACUUUAUAUCGGUCUCGUAAUAAUCUAUUCUCAAUAUUUUCAUCACAAAAGUCCCGUUUAUGUUUUGUGCGCUUUGCGUGAUGUAGUGUUCUUGCAAAAAUAAAUAUGUAUGCAUGUGAUAAAGUGGUGAAAAAGUGUGUGGAAAAAAGUGCAAAUUGUAUUAAAUUUCCUGUGUUUGGUAGAUGAAAAUCAAAUUUUGUUUUAACGCAGCCGGAAUGUGAAAAGUGAUUAGGAGGAAUAUUUAAAGAGAAAAAUUUCCUGCAUUAUUUAAGGAAAAUUUGGUAUAUGAAUAGAGACUGGAGGCGGAAGUGUCAGGAAGCGCGCUACAUGGACACUUGAGCUGCCACAAUCACAAGCCCAAAAGGUUUGCUAUGGGAAAGGUUCACUAAUUAACAAAACAGCUCGAAGACAGCAACGCGCUUUAGGUGCUCACAUAUUAGUAUGUCUGUAUGUAAAUAUGAAUGGCCCACCACAUACACCACAUCUCUUAAGUCUGUCAACCAGAAGAAAUAUAUCAAACAAGAUUCACUCAAUUUACAACAUUUUUAUUUUAUUUG